Ribosomal RNA from Sinocyclocheilus anshuiensis, 116 nucleotides. The record is from Ensembl. NCBI's taxonomy places the organism in Eukaryota, Metazoa, Chordata, Actinopteri, Cypriniformes, Cyprinidae.
UCCAGCCACAGCCAUAUCACCCUGCAGCCCAAGACUGGUUGCCCACUUAAGCUGCAGGGUUGAGCCUGGUCAGUACCUGGAUGGGAGACCUCCUGGGAAAACUGUUGCUGCUGGAA